Molossus molossus (Pallas's mastiff bat) is the source of this 304-nucleotide long non-coding RNA. RefSeq lists it as uncharacterized. NCBI's taxonomy places the organism in Eukaryota, Metazoa, Chordata, Mammalia, Chiroptera, Molossidae. The record is from RefSeq and is a predicted model, not a curated record. The transcript is spliced from 3 exons.
CCACCUCUUUCUCAGAGUCAUUCCAAUUCUUAAACAGAAAGCAUGAAGAACUAGAAUUCCCAGUGGAAAAGGAUUUGGGCAUGUCCAGCAGUAACUGAGGAGGGUCUCUAAAGCCUACCAGUGCAUUGUUUGUAGAGGAGGAAAUUAUUUGGACAUAUACUGUACCCAGCCAAAAGAUGGAUGCCUGAAGAGAUUAUCAUAAAACCACUGCAAAGAAUGCCAUUCGGCCUUUAUAAAGAAAACAUUAAAGAAGACAAAUCACAGGACACAGAUGCUAGAAAAAUCAUCAAGGUCAAGGAGCUUG